UACGUAGGGUGCGAGCGUUAAUCGGAAUUACUGGGCGUAAAGCGUGCGCAGGCGGUUUGUUAAGACAGAUGUGAAAUCCCCGGGCUUAACCUGGGAACUGCAUUUGUGACUGGCAAGCUAGAGUAUGGCAGAGGGGGGUAGAAUUCCACGUGUAGCAGUGAAAUGCGUAGAGAUGUGGAGGAAUACCGAUGGCGAAGGCAGCCCCCUGG
This 209-nucleotide ribosomal RNA is filed under the name uncultured bacterium. RNAcentral describes it as "partial 16S ribosomal RNA". It matches the Rfam family "Bacterial small subunit ribosomal RNA", at positions 524 to 732 of the family's 1533-position model. The record is from RNAcentral.